GGUUGCGGCCAUACCACCCUGUCUGUGCCUGAUCUAGUCUGAUCUCAGAAGCUAAGCAGGGUAGGGCCUGGUUAGUACUUG
Ribosomal RNA from Sinocyclocheilus rhinocerous, 81 nucleotides. Lineage: Eukaryota; Metazoa; Chordata; Actinopteri; Cypriniformes; Cyprinidae. The record is from Ensembl.